AAAAGGAAAAAAAAAGAAAGGAUUUGGUUUGUGGGUUUAUAUAAGAGGAAAAACCCAGAAAGCAACAGAGGGUUAAAAUGAGAGAAAAAGUGAGUCUCUCAUGAAACCCGCAUCUCGUAGAGAUCUAGUGGAGAAAACGUUGAAAGUGUCGCUGGAUAAACAAAUAGAGAAGUUAUUGUUUAAGAGAGAGAUAUAGAGAGAAAGGUUUGUCGUUUUGGGAUGAGAGAGAGGGAGAGAGAGAAUGAGCUGGCCAAGAGUUAAACAAAGGUCGCGGGGUGCGAGAGUAAGAGAAGAGG
RNAcentral lists this unclassified non-coding RNA (296 nucleotides) under Hevea brasiliensis (rubber tree). The record is from RNAcentral. Lineage: Eukaryota; Viridiplantae; Streptophyta; Magnoliopsida; Malpighiales; Euphorbiaceae.